CCAAAGAGUAGGGAAGUGUGUGAGCCAUGCGUCAAGAAAAGCCGCUAUUGUUUUACUUAAGCCCGUACCGUAAACCGACACAGGUGGAUGAGGAGAGAAUCCUAAGGCCGACGGGAGAAGCAUUGUUAAGGAACUCGGCAAAAUGACUCCGUAACUUCGGGAGAAGGAGUGCCAGCGAGAGCUGGCCGCAGAGAAUUGGCCCAAGCAACUGUUUAGCAAAAACACAGGUCUAUGCAAAACCGUAAGGUGAAGUAUAUGGGCUGACGCCUGCCCGGUGCUGGAAGGUUAAGAGGAGAGGUUAGCGGUAACGCGAAGCUUUGAAUUUAAGCCCCAGUAAACGGCGGCCGUAACAAUAACGGUCCUAAGGUAGCGAAAUUCCUUGUCGGGUAAGUUCCGACCCGCACGAAAGGCGUAAUGAUUUGGGCACUGUCUCAACAAUGCACCCGGUGAAAUUGAAAUACCAGUGAAGAUGCUGGUUACCUGCGCCAGGACGGAAAGACCCCAUGGAGCUUUACUCCAGCUUGAUACUGGGAUUCGGUAUUGCAUGUACAGGAUAGGUGGGAGGCUAGGAAGUGAUAACGCCAGUUGUCACGGAGCCGCUGUUGGGAUACCACCCUUGCAGUAUUGGAUUUCUAACCAGCGACCAUGAACUGGUCGGGGGACAAUGUCAGGUGGGGAGUUUUGACUGGGGCGGUCGCCUCCGAAAGGGUAUCGGAGGCGCUCAAAGGUUCCCUCAGAAUAGACGGAAACCAUUCGAAGAGUGCAAAGGCAGAAGGGAGCUUGACUGCGACACCGACGGGUGGAGCAGGUACGAAAGUAGGACUUAGUGAUCCGGUGGUAUAAAGUGGGAUUGCCAUCGCUCAACGGAUAAAAGCUACCCUGGGAUAACAGGCUUAUCACUCCCAAGAGUUCACAUCGACGGAGUGGUUUGGCACCUCGAUGUCGGCUCAUCGCAUCCUGGGGCUGAAGUAGGUCCCAAGGGUUGGGCUGUUCGCCCAUUAAAGCGGUACGCGAGCUGGGUUCAGAACGUCGUGAGACAGUUCGGUCCCUAUCCGGCGUGGGCGUAGGAUAUUUGAGAGGAGCUGUCCUUAGUACGAGAGGACCGGGAUGGACUGGCCGCUGGUGUAUCUGUUGCAUACCAAAUGCAUGGCAGAGUAGCCAAGCCGGGACGGGAUAAACGCUGAAGGCAUCUAAGCGUGAAGCCCCCCUCAAGAUGAGAUAUCCCUACGUAAGUAGUAAGACCCCUUGAAGACGACGAGGUAGAUAGGUCAGAGGUGGAGGUACAGUAAUGUAUGGAGCUGACUGAUACUAAUCGGUCGAGGGCAUGAUC
Molecule: ribosomal RNA, 1330 nt
Filed under: metagenome
Description: bacterial LSU rRNA
Rfam family: Bacterial large subunit ribosomal RNA
Source: RNAcentral